Hirundo rustica (Barn swallow) is the source of this 1560-nucleotide long non-coding RNA. RefSeq lists it as uncharacterized. NCBI's taxonomy places the organism in Eukaryota, Metazoa, Chordata, Aves, Passeriformes, Hirundinidae. The transcript has 9 exons. The record is from RefSeq and is a predicted model, not a curated record.
AAAAAAGAACCUUAAGGAAGCGGGAAGGAGAGUAGCAUGUAGAAGAAAGGUCCUGAGGAGAGGGAAUCACUGCUGUGAGUAAAAUGCUACUGAUGUACAAUAGGGCAGAAGUCACUCUCUCUGUUGUGGACCUUAAAGUCCCUGAGAAUAUUGGAUAGAGUCAGAAGUACAUGGAGGAAGAGAGCUGUGGGGAUUUAGUCUGAAGCUGUGAAGGAAUGACCUGCAGUUGCUACAAGUGAAACUUGCCUUCUGAGAAUUCUCAAGUUUGAGACAUGAGUACAGUGAAGAAGAUAAUUUUGGUCCCUUUCCAAAAGAUGUUCUACCUCAAAACUCCUCCUACAUCAGGAUUCCACUGGAGUAAACUUUGAAGAAUUUACAAACUAAUGAUAACCACUAUUACAUUCAGAGUGAGUGGUCUAAAAAUUUGAAGUGACGCGUGGAAAACAAAAAUCCUGUGGAGGGCUGUGCCUCUGGAAGCAGUUGCAGCACUGGAAAAAAAGUGUUGUUGCAAAAUGGAAUUGGGUCAUUUGGUAGAUCAGUAGUUUCUCCUUGCAAGCAGAAGAUGAUUACAGGCUGUGAGGAGGGAGAAGAAAUGUUGAGCUCAACAAUCCUCCUGAUGCGUCACAACAAGAUGAGACUCUAUUUUGCUCUCUUCAUCUUGUGCCUCCAUGCUGCCUGUGGCAAUUGUGUUUCUUGCUGCUUUUUCUUUCUCCUCCCUUUACUUUGCUAGGAACCAUGGCUUAUGAUGGUCUAUCUUUUAAAUAACAAUUCAGUGAUAUUUGCAGAUCACUCAUUGGGCAGUAGCGCUCCUCAGCUGCAAGUGGAAGGCACCACACUCUGAUAGAUGCUGUCUAUGGUUAGCCAGAUCUGUACAAAUUUGGAGGUCCAUGGGGGUGGAACUCCAGAGGUGCUUUCUCAGCAGGGCACAACCAGCUGACUUCAGGAAGCUGUACUAGUACACCCAGAGCUGGAGUGCCCACAUUUCCAGCACAUGGUGUGUGCAGGUGGGAGGCUCCCCAAAAAGUUGAUACAACCCUCCUGAGACGAACAGCUUUCCCUCAGAGCAGAGCCCUACCCUGGAAUUGCCUUCCAUCAGCACAUGGCUCCCCCAGCAGUGUUUACUGGAACAGCAGCACAGAAUCCCUGCUUAGUCUUUUCCAGGACUGGAGACAAAUUACCAUCUAACUCGAAUUAGGAGCAAAAUGUAUAGACUAGUAUGGGAUGCUGCCCAUCUUCUACCGCUGAUGAUUCCAGCGCAGGUAAUUAGGGAAGGAAGAGUACAAGCCUGAAGGGUUUAAUGUGCUGGGUUUACGAAGCAGUAUUUGACAACUGUUUUGUGUAUUUGAAUGCUGGUGCGGGAGGAAGGGGGGCGCGGAAAAGCCAAAAUUAACAAGUUACUGUUCACUCUUCAGUAUAAAUUUCCUUCCGUUUGAAAGCUGACAUCAGCCUCUGAAUAUUGUACAUGUACUUAUCCCCUAACUGAUAAUGUUUGGUUUUGUAUUUUGCAUCUUUUCUUGUGAGAGUGUGAAGCCCUCAGGCUUUUGGUUAAUAAAGGCUUGU